RNAcentral lists this ribosomal RNA (500 nucleotides) under uncultured bacterium. RNAcentral describes it as "bacterial SSU rRNA". It matches the Rfam family "Bacterial small subunit ribosomal RNA", at positions 17 to 518 of the family's 1533-position model. The record is from RNAcentral.
UCCUGGCUCAGGAGUGAACGCUGGCGGCGUGCCUAAUACAUGCAGGUCGAUCGCACUACUCGGUAGUGAGAGGCGAACGGGUGAGUAACACGUAGGUAACAUAUCUAUAUGACGAGGAUAACGGUUGGAAACGACUGCUAAGACUGGAUAGGAGUAGAGGAGGCAUCUCUUUACUUUAAAGGACUUUUCGGAGUACGCGUAUGGAGUGACCUGCGGCGCAUUAGUUAGUUGGUGGGGUAGUGGCCUACCAAGACGAUGAUGCGUAGCCGGACUGAGAGGUUGAACGGCCACAUUGGGACUGAGACACGGCCCAGACUCCUACGGGAGGCAGCAGUAGGGAAUUUUCGGCAAUGGGGGGAACCCUGACCGAAGCAACGCCGCGUGAAUGACGAAGUACUUCGGUAUGUAAAGUUCUUUUAUUAAGGAAGAAAGUGCAGUGGAAAAACUGUAUAGACGGUACUUAUUGAAUAAGCCCCGGCUAACUACGUGCCAGCCGCGGC